RNAcentral lists this long non-coding RNA (1125 nucleotides) under Cottoperca gobio. RNAcentral describes it as "lncRNA (ENSCGOG00000016321.1)". The record is from RNAcentral. Lineage: Eukaryota; Metazoa; Chordata; Actinopteri; Perciformes; Bovichtidae.
UGAAUACUUGUCAUGUCAGUUAUGUAUUUAUAUUAUAGUUUAGUUCAGUGUUUAAUGUCUCUCAGGUCACGUUAUGUUAAGUUACCGUCACGCUUGUCUGGUGUCGUCUUGCACUUCCUGUUUUAUUUUGAAACUCACCUUUCCCUCUCGUUCCAGGUCACUUAACUUCCUGCCUUGUGUGUUUUCCCGCUUCUGUGAUCGUCUGCCCCGCCCCUGAAUGUUGUCACCUGUGUGCCCUCGUCUUGUGCCAGUUUCUGUCUGUACGUCAGACACUUUGUGGAGUCGUGUAUUUUAGAUGUUCUUUCAUUCCGUGGAGUCACCAGUUGGGGGCGUCGAUGGCUUCCCGUCAUCCCUGUGCAGCGCUUUCCUCCGUCACAGAAAAAGAGAGAGCAGCUGCUUCUUACAUCGCAGCGUUUGCUCUGUCAUCCCCCUCAUUCUCCUCUCCCUCCUCCUCCCUUAGGAAGGGGAGCACCACACCCUGUCAGCCAAUCAGACCUCUUCUCCACCUUCCCCAUCACAUCAUCUCAGUUUCCAAGUGGGAUUGCCACAACAUCAAAGGCACCUCCCUCCCUCCCUCUCCACCUCUCUCGCUGCAUCGUCCAACAUCCGACACUCAGGAAGAGAAGACGGAGACGAGAUGGACUAAAGAAGAAGAAGAGAGAUGUGUCUGCUGCCCUGCUUCAUUCUGGGCUGACUGGGCUGUCUUACUGCUUUACUGGGCUGGUUUCAGUGUCUUUCACUGGGUUGAAAACCUGAACCACGUGAGGGGAAUCCUACUUCCUAAUGUGAAAGUUACAAUCCUCCCAAUUACAAAGUCAGAAUCAGGUGUGUCGAAGAAGUCUUAUGGAGGAAGAAACACAAGCACAACCAGAAGUUUACCCAGAUUAAAGCACUUUGUUGGGAAGUAAAACUGAAGGUGAGCGCACCUGAAAUGUAAUAACAUGUUGGGGUGCGGGGGGGGGGGGUGGUCCUUGAGUUUCCCACUUGUUAAUCUAGACUUUUCCCAAUUUGUGUAAUCUUGUCGACAUGCUUCUCUGAUUAAUUACUGUAUAAAAUGAAAUCAUGAUGUGAUCCUUACGCAUCUUGUCCCUUAAUCCAUUUACUUUACCGUUCAGUCAUCGGAUG